UGGGGAAUUUUGGACAAUGGGGGAAACCCUGAUCCAGCCACCCCGCGUGUGCGAUGAAGGCCUUCGGGUUGUAAAGCACUUUUGGCAGGAAAGAAACGUCGCGGGUUAAUACCCCGCGAAACUGACGGUACCUGCAGAAUAAGCACCGGCUAACUACGUGCCAGCAGCCGCGGUAAUACGUAGGGUGCAAGCGUUAAUCGGAAUUACUGGGCGUAAAGCGUGCGCAGGCGGUUCGGAAAGAAAGAUGUGAAAUCCCAGAGCUUAACUUUGGAACUGCAUUUUUAACUACCGGGCUAGAGUGUGUCAGAGGGAGGUGGAAUUCCGCGUGUAGCAGUGAAAUGCGUAGAUAUGCGGAGGAACACCGAUGGCGAAGGCAGCCUCCUGGGAUAACACUGACGCUCAUGCACGAAAGCGUGGGGAGCAAACAGGAUUAGAUACCCUGGUAGUCCACGCCCUAAACGAUGUCAACUAGCUGUUGGGGGCCUUCGGGCCUUGGUAGCGCAGCUAACGCGUGAAGUUGACCGCCUGGGGAGUACGGUCGCAAGAUUAAACUUAAAUGAAUUGACGGGGGUCAUAGCUG
This 580-nucleotide ribosomal RNA is filed under the name uncultured bacterium. RNAcentral describes it as "partial 16S ribosomal RNA". It matches the Rfam family "Bacterial small subunit ribosomal RNA", at positions 355 to 928 of the family's 1533-position model. The record is from RNAcentral.